RNAcentral lists this ribosomal RNA (513 nucleotides) under Lodderomyces parapsilosis. RNAcentral describes it as "Candida parapsilosis partial large subunit ribosomal RNA". It matches the Rfam family "Eukaryotic large subunit ribosomal RNA", at positions 79 to 598 of the family's 3401-position model. Lineage: Eukaryota; Fungi; Ascomycota; Pichiomycetes; Serinales; Debaryomycetaceae. The record is from RNAcentral.
CUUAGUAGCGGCGAGUGAAGCGGCAAAAGCUCAAAUUUGAAAUCUGGCACUUUCAGUGUCCGAGUUGUAAUUUGAAGAAGGUAUCUUUGGGUCUGGCUCUUGUCUAUGUUUCUUGGAACAGAACGUCACAGAGGGUGAGAAUCCCGUGCGAUGAGAUGUCCCAGACCUAUGUAAAGUUCCUUCGAAGAGUCGAGUUGUUUGGGAAUGCAGCUCUAAGUGGGUGGUAAAUUCCAUCUAAAGCUAAAUAUUGGCGAGAGACCGAUAGCGAACAAGUACAGUGAUGGAAAGAUGAAAAGAACUUUGAAAAGAGAGUGAAAAAGUACGUGAAAUUGUUGAAAGGGAAGGGCUUGAGAUCAGACUUGGUAUUUUGUAUGUUACUCUCUCGGGGGUGGCCUCUACAGUUUACCGGGCCAGCAUCAGUUUGAGCGGUAGGAUAAGUGCAAAGAAAUGUGGCACUGCUUCGGUAGUGUGUUAUAGUCUUUGUCGAUACUGCCAGCUUAGACUGAGGACUGC